This is a long non-coding RNA of Xenopus laevis (African clawed frog), 5204 nucleotides long. RefSeq lists it as uncharacterized. The record is from RefSeq and is a predicted model, not a curated record. The transcript is spliced from 3 exons. Lineage: Eukaryota; Metazoa; Chordata; Amphibia; Anura; Pipidae.
CUUAUAAAAUGUAGUUGUUUUGAAAAUUCUGCCUCUUCUGUGCAAUUCUUUUUUACCCUACACAUUUGGCCAAAUGAGAUGUUUCUUAUCCAUUAUUAUGUGGGUAGUGGUUACUCAUUGGAAUUAUAUAAUUGUUUGAGUUUACUUUCUUAAAGGAGAACGAAAGCCAAAACGUACUUAGGGUUCCAUUGUGUAGCCCUUAUAUAUGCCUUCUGAAUCGCUACCUUUUUAUUUUAAAAUCAUGCAUAGUUUAGGAGAAAAUCCAAUCGUUAAGACGCAGCACUAUAAACAGAUUGCGGCCGCCAUCUUGGUUAGUGUGCACUUCCGUCAUUUACAGACUUCAUUAGUGCGCAUGUGCUAAUACCAUAACAGUAACACAUUACUUACACAGAUCUGCAGCACUUCUCAUCGCUCCUGCUCCCUCCCCUCCCCUCUCUGCUAGCCCGCAGCCUUAAGCUUCGUCAUGGAAAAGAGACACAUAGAAUCCGAUUGGCUGGUGGGCGGGUCAAGCAGGAGAGAAUGCAAAUAGCCCUGAGGGGCGUGAGGGACACGAGGGAAGGGCUAUAAUAUUUAGAAUGCGCAGAAGCUUCAGAUAAUGUGUAAUGCGAUCCUUCUGUGCCAGAGGCAGCAGGGAGGAAACAGCAGAGGAUCUUAGUGACGUCACCCGACCUAGAGACUCGGCUUCUGCAGGCAGUACAUUUGCAAGUGAAAGAGAAGAGACAGCCUCGAUUUUCUUGGUGCAGCACAAGCACAGGCAGGCCCAGAGCAAAGAUUAUAUGGCAGGGUGCAGACCUCCCUUACAACAUGUGCCAGGCCAUGUGUGCCGAGAAGGAGUAAACCAAGGAAUCCUAGAUCAAUCAGGACUACAUACCUCCUUAAAAAGUGCAGUGCUGGAACAUCAACAUUUUAAAUAACAUUUUUUGAAGUAGCAAAAAUAUAUUUAAAAAAGUACAGGUGUGGAAUUUUAUCUGAAAUAUAAUUAACUGGCUGAAAAUUUUUUUACCUGGGUCACCCGUCCAGACCCAAUCAACCCCUCCCCCCAGCUAAGCCCCACACUUUUAGCACAACUAGCAGGCUCAGCCUCUCUCUACCAUCCAGGAGGAGAAGGGUUACAUCUUCAUACCCACAUCCUUUCAGGACAGAGGCCAGCAGAGGUCAAGAGCAAGCAGCAAGUAAGAGCCACAUAAGCCACAGUGAAUGUAUAAGAGCCAGGUGUAAGCCAGUCAGCCAGCAAAGAAAGGUAUUGCUGGAGGGAUCAAGAAUGCUGCCCAGGAGGCAGCUGGGGCACCAGGCCAGGGUCAGGGGCUCCUCCAACACGGGGGCCAUAAACAUGGUCUUCCAGAAGCAAUCAUACAGUGCAACAUGUAUGGGCCCCAGGAGUGCAGGUGAAGGUGGCACAUGCAGUUCCAGGCAGAAACACAGUGGGUGAGGCGGUCACAGCUGUAAUUUCCCCUCCUUCCACCUUUUUCUCAAUAGGACCUAAAAACCAGCCAGAAGACAAAGGAGAACAAAGAAGUUCAUCAGCUACAUAGGACCAACCAGGAGGGUAAUUGCAUAUCAGGUACCAACGAUACUGGCAACAGGGUACUGGGUACACAGCCAGGGCAGGGUUCUGCUAGCAGUCCCCAGCAUGAGCCAUGCAAGUUCAUGGCUAAAUUGUGCCAGCUGCUGAGGCAAACAGAGGUGUGGUGGCCACAGAUAGUGCUACCAUUGGGGGAAGCCACCAGGUAAUUUUUUUAUGACUCCCAUAGACGCCCAUUUAAAAAAAAAAAAAAGACGCGUUUUUCAAACGCACGUCAAAAUGUUUUUGAUGCCCAUAUGAUAAUGGGCGUCAGUGACAUUUCGCCGGCGGCAAAUUUUUGACGAAACGAAAAGGGUCAAAUUCACCCAUCCCUACAGGGGAUCUAAAAACACAGCUAUGCUCACAUUAGGUACUUAGUCAGCGGCUAAGGGUAUGGGGGUUCAGAUGAUGUCAAGUGGAAAAGGAGGUAGUGUCAGCAAAGGGCCAUGCUUAUAUAUGUUUUGAGUGCCAUUAGGUACUCACCUAAGACCGGAAGUGAGGGAGAAGGUUUAGAAAUGGGAGUACAUUAACAGUUUCAAGCUACUACCAUUGGAAAAAUUUAACAUCAAUAAAAUGGGUAAGGAGCACAGGAAAGAGGAAGACAAGAAUAGCACCAGUUUAGGCUGAUCCCUAGGACAUUCGGGAACUGACUGCAGGCCUUUUCCACUUUGGCCAGUGCAGUAGGGUAGAAGCAUCCAGAACACUUCUCAGCAGUGUUUUCUUAUCUGGAUGCCAUUUGGGAGGCACACUGGGUUUUAUUUAUCAACACUGGGCAAAUUUUCCCUUGGGCAGUAACCUAUAGCAACCAGUCAGUGACUGGCUUUCUUCAGCCAUCUGCAGGUAAAACAAUGAAUGCAACAUUUGAUUUGGUUAUCAUGGGUUACUGCCCAUGUGCAAAGUUGCCCAGUGUUGAUAAAUUACACUAUGGGUCUAUCAUGGCUAUAGUAUGAAAAACAAUUGCAUCAGAGGAUUGCAGUGGAACUGGAAUUUCACAGGAGCUACAGCAGGAAGGCUACAAGCCAUCUGGAGCACACAAAAAAGACUGUUUAACAAUAGCCAGUGCAAACGGGGGGCCAUCCUGUUGAUUUUGCCAUGAAUGCUCCCAGAAAUCAUCCUUUCAGCAGAUGUUUCAAAAGGUGCAAGAGUGCAGGCAAAUAUAGCUAUGGGCCUGGAAAAGGGAGUAACACAGAUUAAACUAGAAUUUAUGUUUUUUGCAGGCUGAAAGAAGCAAGAAUCUGCUCCCUUCUUCGGCACCGUUUGUCUGCACUUAAAAGUACAGCUUUCACUGCAGAGGAAUGCAGAUUACCCAUGAACAAGGUAACAUUGCUUGAAGAAAAGAGUACACAGGCAGGGCCAAAAAGUUGGUACUGUAGAUCUAGUCCCUUUGGAGUAAACUCAACUUGAGAAUUAUCUGUAUAGGGAGCCUGGUGGCUCUCUGACUGCAGGAGUGGGUGGCACUGUUUUGUUCCAAAAUAAUGGCUGUGUCAGUGGUUAAUAAUUUGACCUCUUCAUAUUGCCCAGUGCUUGCCCUCUUUUGGUACUGCUUUGCCUACAACUUAGUGUCAAUUUGAGAAACAGACACCCCCUGGGUGGUGUUAACGAGAUUGAUGAUGCACUGUUUUCAGUGGGACAGAUUUCGGACACUGGCACCAAUAGCACCAGUAAAUGUAAUUUUGGAAUUAUAGGAUCCCCUGUUGAAUUUAAACUAUUCAAGCUGACUUUUUUAUGUGGGCAGUAGAGGGUCCAGAUUGGUGGUCAUGUAUUUGGAAUAUUUCUUGAUAAUGAGUUUAUGGAUAAUAUAUCCUGUAUUUUUAUACUAUAUGUUAUAGAGUUCUUAUAAAUGAUUACAUGGAAUACUUCAUGCAAAAAUGAUUGCAAACGAAUGCACUGGUAGUGCCCUCCCCCUGUACUAGUGGACUUUUGACUAAUGCCCAUUUAUUAAUUGUGCCUUAUACCAGGACAUGCUAACAAUGUAGACAUUCAUCAUGUACCACAAAAAUAUUUGGCCAAAUUCAAUCUGGUAGCAAUAAAAUCUGCAGAUGCAGUUGCCAUAGUUUUUAUAUGUGUAUGUUGCAAAUUAUAGUCAUACUCUGUAUAACAAUUAAGGCAUAUACUGACAUGAAAGCUAUUGAUCUAAAACCAAAACUGCAUGCAUUAAGGAUUUCUAUUGAAACCGUUAGCUCUAAAAUGAAAAUGUAAAACUAUUAUUACAAUAGUGGUAUUUGCAACAAUCAGCAGUCUCAUAGUACUGCUCCCAUAAAGAAUUACAAAUACAUAGUUUCAUAUGCUCAUAAGCGAUGUAGUACUAUCUCAAAAACAGCAGCAUUCCCUCCUGAAUACCAGUGUCAUUGCAGAGAAUAUAAAGCCAAGAAACAGACAUCCAGUUGUCUUUUGAUAGCUUGCCCAGUGAGUUAAAUAAAGACCAUUUUCUCGUAGUUCUUGUUUUGCAACCUUCAGGAGAACAAAUAUACAAGGCAGACAUUAGAGACACAAUCUUUUAUGCACAGGCAAAUGGAUUUUGUGCACUGCCAUAGACAUUGACGAGACAGAUAGCAUACACGAAAAACACUAGUUUCUAUGUCUAAUUGAGAGGAAAAGCUCAGGGAAAAGUUGUUCUGGUUCCAAAUAAACCUCAUAAUUGCACAGAACUGUUGACUGCACUGACAAACUCAUAUCAAUGCCUUGAUUCUUUGCUGGCCUACUUGAGGCAAUUGCUGUAUUGUACUGCCAUCCACUGACAUGUGCGUGCAAAUGCACACAGUAAUUAAUUUAGUUGCUUCUGUAGUAUAUCGACUUGACUUAAUUUCCACUGAAGCACCAGCCAUCCCCUAGAUAGAUAUACUCCCAAUUCAUUUCCUUCUGCAAUGAUAACUGUGAAAUUUACCCAAGCUCUAAAGGAAAAGAAAUAAUUUCUCUAAUAGCCUUAAUGGGUUUUUAGAGUCUUUUGGACAGCAGCCAAGAAAGUCUUAGACAUGGAUGUGCAGGCAGAGUGAAUGCAGAGCUUAGUUUGCGAGUGGAUGUCUCUGUGUGUGGUUUUACUGUCAGAUAAGUUUCAGUAAAGACAUUUUAAUUGAACCCCCCCCCCAAUAAUACUUUCAGUGAUAGCUUUCCCUCACUGCAUUAAGCGUAAAUGAAUAGAAGCUAAUUGUAUUUCAAUAAAAAUGGGGAUCAGAAAGCUGUUGUUGGAUAAGGUAAUCUUUAAUUAAGAUUAUUUAAAUUACUAAAUGUCAGCCUCUAACAUUAGCUUCACAUUUUAUACUGAUGUGAGAAUGGUUUACUAGAAAAAUAAAUUAAAAUAAAAUACAUAAAUAAGCAGCACAAUUUCAUAAUGUGUGCUGAUAUUUAAUGGUUAAGCAGAGAAAUACAUAGUCCCUGAUGGUUUAAUGAACCUUAUGAUGAUUGAUGCCUGAGUAGGCAUUACGUUCAUUAUGUCAUCAGUAUAAAUUAAGGCAGAGCAGAAAUGCACAUUGAAGCAUGGUAACUUUUAUUUCAAUAGACAAAAUUGCUGUUUGAACUCAAAUAUAACUUGUUUGAGUGUAUUUACAUACUUAGGGACAUAUUUAUUAACAUGGGAGACAAAAAUCAUUGGUGAUGUUGCCCAUAGCAGCCAAUCAUAUCUUUGCUUUUAUUUUGUAACUUGUAG